UACAGAGGGUGCAAACGUUGUUCGGAAUUACUGGGCGUAAAGCGCGUGUAGGCUGCUCGGAUAGUCGGGUGUGAAAGCCCUGGGCUCAACCCAGGAAGUGCAUUCGAUACUGCCGAGCUUGAGUCCUGGAGAGGAAGGCGGAAUUCUCGGUGUAGAGGUGAAAUUCGUAGAUAUCGAGAGGAACACCGGUGGCGAAGGCGGCCUUCUGGACAGUGACUGACGCUGAGACGCGAAAGCGUGGGGAGCAAACAGG
RNAcentral lists this ribosomal RNA (253 nucleotides) under uncultured bacterium. Its description in RNAcentral is "partial 16S ribosomal RNA". It matches the Rfam family "Bacterial small subunit ribosomal RNA", at positions 524 to 776 of the family's 1533-position model. The record is from RNAcentral.